This 7512-nucleotide long non-coding RNA is filed under the name Lactuca sativa (garden lettuce). RNAcentral describes it as "long non-coding RNA (LSAT_LNC007723)". The record is from RNAcentral. Lineage: Eukaryota; Viridiplantae; Streptophyta; Magnoliopsida; Asterales; Asteraceae.
AUUGAAACAUUCAAACGAAACAUCAAAACCCACAACCACUCCUGAAUUCAUCAUCUUCUUCAGCUCUUUGGCACUCUUCCUUUUCUUUCCCUGUCAAAUGAAUCGAACCCAAAGAUCCACCUGAUUUCGGUUCUUCUUCCCUCCUUAUUCAGUACAAGCAAAGAAAACUCCACCUUCUUCUUUAUCUUUCUUCUUUCCUCAACAGCUAGAGCACAAAUGGUGCUCCCUUGAUCAACGACUGUAAAAGCCUCUCCCUCCUCCUUCUACCUUUUCCUGUCAAAAAAAAUAAAUAAAUAAAACAAACACCCCCUCUGAUCGACUUUUCUGGCUGCAUCGUCAUCCUUUGGGUUGGAUGCAAAACCACAAAAAAAUAAAAAAAAUAAAAAGAUUAAGUCGCUGCUUACCUUGCCCCAUCGAAGACUUCCUUUCGGUUCUGCCUUGGUUUCCCCUUCGCGACCAGCGAAAGACCGGAUACCUCUUUUCCCUCGCUUUCCUUCUCUCCUGUUCCCAUCGACCACAGACCUCCGAAUGUCUCGUCUUCGAUGCUACUGCUUCUUGCGACGCCGGAACUUCGCACCUUGCAGCCGGACGAGAAGAGGGAAGCUUCGCUGCUUCUUCUCUUCGUUUCUUCGGCCUCGACAACCCCCGGAGACGCUCCUUCCGCCUACGAUCGAUCCACGACCCUCAGAUCUCGUACCCGCCUGCGAGCCUUCGUGCUCCCUCUUGCCGCCGUCGUUGUUCGUGUCUAUGUCGUUCCUUCGUGUUCAUCUUCCUUCCAUUUGAACGAUCAGACAAAAACGGGACAUAAAAGCCCUAAUUUCCUUUCGACUUUGAUUAAGUUGAUAAAAUAACCCGUACAACAUUUAUUUUAGAAAUCAGCCCCAAACCCCCAAAUAUUGAACCCAUUUAUUCAAAAUAGCACCUCUUUUGGUUAUUUUUAACAAAAUAGCACCUCUUUUGGUUAAUUCUAACAAAAUAAAUCCCAAUAUACAAACUUUCAAUAAAAAUAAUAUGUUCAACCCCUGCCUAUAUUUUUUUUAACCAAAUCAGUCAUACUUUGGUUAAUUAAAUUACCAAACAACCUCUAUAGUUGAAAUUUGUUGCAAAACGGUCCCAAAAAUGUUUCAUAAAUAAACGAACUCCGAACAAUUCGAACUCACGCUUCCACGGUGAGUGCUUAUGGCCCCAAUUUAAUAUUUUUAAUUAUUUCUCGCAGGAGGGGGGGUGGAAUACAUGUGCUUAUAUACUUCGUGUAUACAAACAUCUUAUCAUUUCAUACGAAAAAUACAAUAAUCCCAUUUUUUUUAAAAUGUCAUUUAACAAGGUAACGUAUCGUUACAAAUAAACUAGUUUAGACUUUUUGUAUACAUAUUAUCGUUAUUUUAUCAAGAAAUAACUAGUUCACACAACAAAUGCUACAUGAUACAAAAAUAUAUGAUUUUUGGUGACAUUAUAUAUUAAAACAAGCACGUUAUAAAAUUUUGUACUAUUUCAAGGAUUCAAACUAUUACUAUUCAUGCAUAUUUAGAUGUUUAAAUACAUAAAGUUUAUACAUGUACAUAUGUUCAUUACUUUGAAACAUAUAUCUUUAUAAAACCGACUACAUUAUACUUUUACAUACAUACCAAGCGAACUCGGCUUUUGUCAACUUUAUACAAUCAAAUGCAUUAUGCCUAGUGACUUAACCACAAUUAGGUUAAGGUUGAGAGAUAUUCACAUACUUUAGUUCUGGGAUUUUUAGUGAGACUAUAUUCAUUAUCUGAGUCUAAACACUUAGCAUACCCACACUGCUAUAACUAUUGAUAUUCGGAGCAAGAUACAUGUGUAUAGAUCCAUACUGGGUUGACAUCCCCACCUACGGUUGCUAGAUACAAUCUCAACCGAUCAGUCGAAGCCAGUGAUAAGUGUCUAUAAUUGUUACUACAAAGCCCAAUGAAGCCUUAUAGGGGGUACAUUCAGUCACAUAGCUCGGUUAUAGGACUCACGAUAAAAAUUAACUAGAAUUCUCUCUCUCUCUCUCUCUCUCUCUCUCUCUCUCUUUGACGACAAACCAUGGGCUUGGUUGCUUUCAAAACUACUUCAGGUAAUGGAAUUACUUAUGUAACAGUACAUUUUGGUUUUCAAGUACAUUCAAAGAUUCAUUACAAACAUAGUUUUAUGUAUGGGUUUACUUAUACAAAAGAUACAUUUUGGCAUUCAAAGAUUCAUUACAAAUACAGUUUUAAGCAUAGACUUACUUAUACAAAGAUACAUUUCGGCUUUUAAAGACUCAUUGCAAACAAUGUUUUAACUAUUGCUACACAUACUAAUAAAAUACUUUUUAAACUUUUAAAAGUAUUAUUGUUGUUAACAGAAAACCUGUAACACUCACCAACCUUGUGUUGACCGUCAAAACUACAUGUGCUCUCAAGAAAUCACUAAACAUACAUUCAAGACGGAUUUGAUUACAGGUGGCCUAGUUAUUUGUUGUUGUAUUAUAUGCAUGUCUAUUAAGGCAAUUAAUGUACUAUUAUUAUCUAAAAAAACAUUUUAUUCAAAUAUCAAAAUGGAACACAAAUGCUAUUUUGUUUAGUGUUGUACUUGUGCAUAUAUUCAGUUUACCUGCGAUCCAUGAACUUAGUUGCAUAGCACGACAUGUUCCUGUUGGUUUUGUAUACUACAACAUCCUAUGGUGCAUAUACAACCCUUGAAGCUUCGGAUCUAUAUUUUCACUAAUUAUACAUGCAAAUGGUUUCCAAAGCUUUAAGCCUACAACUAACAUACAAAUGAGAUAAACUACAUAAAAUACUAGUUAGAAGUUUACCUCAUUGUGUAGCUUGUAUAACUUGAUGAAUUUGGCCUUAAAGAGCUUAGCCCCAAUAGUGUGGAAGCCUCAAAUUAGGUCACAACACAUCAUGGACAAAGGUGCAACUUGAGAGAGAAUUCCAUGCACCCAAAAACACCCAUGAACUCCAAGAACAAGCAUGUAGGCGUUUUUUUAGGUUAAGAGCAUGUAUUUAUAUGUUGGAUUUCAAGGGUCAUGGGUAUAACCUAAAUCCAUACCCAUGGGUUUAUGAUCCAUGGUUCAUGUGGCCCAACUCUUUAUGUAUCCAUACAUAAACUUGGUCCAACAUGGAUCAUAAGGCCAACACAUAUAAAUAUAACUAAUUAUCAUAAUUAGUCAUCAUAGAUUUAAUUAGUCUCUUUUGAUCACUAAAUUAAUUCCAAAUUAAUUAUUAAUCAAUACUAAUUCAAACAUAUAAUUUCAUAUUAAUAUAUUAUAACUUAUAAUAUAUUGAUAAAUCGUAUAUAACCUUUCUCUCAAGAGUCCAUCCUAACAAAUUAUCCUGAUGAUAUGCAACCUAAAUGGAUCAUGCUACUCUCGGGUCAAGUACAUACCAAUAAUAGUUAUAGGCUUAGACAUCUAAUCCAACAGUUCCGCCACCUCGGGCAGGGGUGUAAUAGAUUAUUAUCAGAGCUAAAUUGGCUGUAGAGAACUCUUAUCCUCAAAAGAGGAAUACAAAUAUAGCAACUAGCUUAUAAUAAAAGUAUUAUUGUUAAUUACACUACUUCUUGGCUACUUACGGUACGGGGAAUCUGGUUUAAAGGGCUUCAUAGGGUUGUUGGAUUUCAGAACGGCUUANCCCCCCCCCCCCCCCGAUGUUUCCUGUCUGGCCCUCAUUUGUACUUGGUAUUCUUGGGGUACAAAACAAACAAUAAUAAUUCUUCAAACCUCACCAACAAUAAUAUAUAAAAUUUAUAUAUAUACUCUGACCCGCGAUGAUAACACUUAAUAAAAUUCUAACAUAUCUCCCACUAAAACUACCAAAUCAACCCUUUAGGUCAAACCUCUCAACAAAGGUUAGUACUAAGCCAUACCUUAAAUAAACCUGGAACGUAUGCCUAUUUUAUUUAUGGUCGGGCAUGCACACAACCAACCUUGAGCAAGGAUUUUGACAGGCUACAAUGGUUGAAAGUUUUAGAGAUUGAAGGAUGUAUUCAAGAUUCGCUACAGAAACCUAGUACCUUAGCUACCUUAUAUCAACCCUAAAACAACAUAUGCAUUUUAAAUACUUAAAAAUCUAGGAUAAUGUUCAAAUUUUCCAAGUUCAUUUAAACUUGAAGGAGAACAAAGAAUCAAUAGCUCCUCUACCAUCAUAGCAGAGAAACCCAUAGUUCCUAAUUGAUCAUCCAUUAGUCUCCAAACUUAUCUCCUUAUCAUUUGAAAUUAGUAGGAUUUCAAUUCUCUCUCUAUAAUUAGGAAAUCUAUAGGUGUCACACCCCAAAACCGGAACGGCGGAAACGUUCUGGGGUGGAUGACUUCAUGUCAAGUAUCACAACACAUGCAUUAUAUUAAUCAAAGUACAACAAAACAUUGCAUUAAUAGUAAUAAUUUUACAUGGUUACAUUACAAUACAUCAAAGUAAUAUAAGUAGUAGAAUAAAUACAGCGUGGUACUAAGCUAUCUUCAUCAACAGCUCCGGGGAUGUACCUGUCUAAUGCUAACCUGCGAAUACAAGUUAUUUGAAAAGCGAGUAUCAACAUUUUUACAAUGCUGGUGAGUUCAUAAGCAUUUAGUGUCAUUUAAUCAAAUAACUUUAUAAAGUAGUAGUUUAAGUGUUUACUGUGUAUUAGAGUUCUUUCCAGAAAAUCAUGUAUUUUCUUUAAUAAAGCAGCCUUCUACUGUCACACCCCCAAACCAAGGAUGGCGGAAACGUCCAGGGGUGGAGGACUUCAUGUACAGUAUCACAACAACAUGUAUAAUAGUGCUCAAAGUAAAUACAACCAUCAUAAAUAUAAUUGAAAAAGUUACACCAAAGUAUAUGUUUACAUGUUUCAAAAUCAAUUACAUUGUGAUGAUAAAAAUAAAAAUAAAUUGUUGACGGUUUAACGUCCUAUCCUCAAAGCAUUGAAGUUUUCCUGUUUCACUGAUUUCCUGAGAAUACAAGUAGUUUUGAAAAGUGUCAACAAUUAAGUUGGUGAGUUCAUAAGAGUUUUGUUUGGAGUAGAAACCAUUUUUCCUUUUUAAAGGCGAUAGGAUAUGUAUCCAGAAAAUCCAAUAUUUUCUUAGUUAGGUGUAAACAGAAUAUUCCUAUAUGAUGUGUUGAUGAACCCUAGAUUGACCCGUAGAUUUCCUCUAUAAUCAUCCAGCAUAUAUAAGUUAUAGAAGAUUUAAGUUAGAUAAAACGUCGAAUGUAAUGGGUCCGCCCUAGGUCCACAACCCAACGAGGAACAGGAGAUGAGGCGGGCACCACCAAUUCUAAGCCAAUCCAGACUAAAUUCUUGUAUGACUCAAGCAUAUACGCUCAACGAUUAUAGUUGAAGUCUAACAAUGCGAACCUUUAAUGUGAAUAUAACCUAUACAUAUCAUAGUUCACCGGGGAGUAAUAGAGAUUAGUGAACCUGAACUAUGCAUAUGAUAGCUUAUCAAAAGUGAUGGUGAAUAUAACCUAUAUGAUGUGUUAAUGUAUCCUAGAUUGACCCGUAGAUUUCCCCUAUAAUUGUCCAGCGUAUAUAAGUUAUAGAAGAUUUAGGUUAGAUAAAACGUCGAAUGUAGUGGGUCUGCCCUAGGUCCACAACCCAACGAGGAACAGGAGAUGAGGCGGGCACCACCAAUUCUAAGCCAAUCCAGACUAAAUUCUUGUAUGACUCAAGCAUAUACGCUCAACGAUUAUAGUUGAAGUCUAACAAUAUGAAAAUCUAUUGUGAUUAUAACCUAUACAUAUCAUAGUUCACCGGGGAGUAAUAGGGAUUAGGGAACCUGAACUAUGCAUAUGAAUAGCUUAUCAAAAGUGAUGGUGAUGGUGAGUGUAACCUAUACAUAUCAUAGUUCACCGGGGAGUGAUAGGGAUUAGUGAACCUGAACUAUGCAUAUGAAUAGCUUAUCAAAAGUGAUGGUGAUGGUGAGUGUAACCUAUACAUAUCAUAGUUCACCGGGGAGUGAUAGGGAUUAGUGAACCUGAACUAUGCAUAUGAAUAGCUUAUCAAAAGUGAUGGUGAUGGUGAGUGUAACCUAUACAUAUCAUAGUUCACCGGGGAGUGAUAGGGAUUAGUGAACCUGAACUAUGCAUAUGAAUAGCUUAUCAAAAGUGAUGGUGAAUUCCUUUCUUGUAAUUAAGUUCCUAGGGUAGAUGAAACAUAAACUAUACCUAUUAUAGUUUAUUACUUUGUUUGUAAUAUGUAUUUACCAUAACUAUACCGAUUAUAACUAACGCGUUCGUUUGUGGGGGUAUAAUGGCUUAACUAUACUUAUUAUAGAUUAUCUUAAUCGUCCAUAGCGGCAAUAACUCUUUUGUAAGUGUAAGACCUUUAAUAUUGUGUUUGUUAUAUGAAUAACCCUAAACUAUACCUAUUAUAGUUUAUCGAUUGAUUUCGUGGGAAAUGAGCAUAGGCCUUACUUGUCAUAAUUUAUCAAUGUUUAUAUUUUAAUGGAUAUAGCCUCGUAAUAUCGUAUAUAUAUACAUUUGUCAUACUUGUGAAGGUGUAAAUCCAUUUGUUUUCUGAUGUAUGUCUAUGUAAGGAUAUAAAAUUUGUCAUAUAUUGCAACUACACAUAAUCACAUAACGAUGUAUACCUUGCUCAACAUGUUACAAGGUGAAAUGAAAUUUAUUGUGUUUUUCUGUUAAUAACAUUUUCUGUAACUGUUAUUGGAAAAAUUGUAGAAAAAUCAUAAAAUGUCCAAAUCAGGUUCUGUAACUUCUGAGAGUUUGGAAAAUGAGUCUAGUUUGUUCAUAAUUUUUAUUAUAAUUUUUAAUGACCUCUAACUUGGGUGAAAAAGUCCAUAAUCACAGACUGGUCCGGAUUGAUGUUUGAAAUGAUAGGCAGUUUUGUAAAAAUCACCAUAAAUUGUAGAAAAAUCGUAUGGAGAUGUGCAAGUAGUCAUUUUAAAGCUAAGAAGUGGAACUACAUGCACCUAAAACAGUUUUGAAAACAAAAAUAUUUAAGAUGUCCAAAACAGUCCGUGAAUGGAGUGAAACUUUUCUGAUGAAAGCUGUUAGAAAAAUGUAGUUAUGUUCUAAGUAUUUUAACUUGUAUUCCCCCCCUAAAAACUUGAGAAAACAUGAAAAUGUAGGGGUAUGAACUCACCUUGUGUGAUUUCAGUAGAUAAGUGUUGAAGAAGAGAAGUGUUCAACCCAAGAACACUUGAAGAAUCACUUGAAGAUUCGAAGCUCUAACACAAAUAUAAUGGAGUUUGUGUAAGAUAUCCAUGAUUUGAGUGGAAAUAAUUGAGAUAAUCAUAAAGAGAAUGGAUUAUGCUUACCAAAUGUGGAGGAAAAACUCAAGAUCAGCCCUUGAAUCUCGAAUUUCUAGAGAGAGAAAGUGAGAGAGAAAAGAGUUUGAUCUUCUUGUGAAAUGAGAGCAAAUGAGAGAAAAUGAGGAGAGAGGAUGAUUAUCCAGCUCUCAAAAACGUGGGGAUGGCUUGUGAGGGAGGUAAAAGGUACAAGGUAUGGUGGAAAGGAGUGUGGGUGGUCAUGGAGUGGGUAUGGGGGUUGCUUGCGUCAUAAAAUAAGGUAAAGUCAACACUCUACCUUU